Molecule: ribosomal RNA, 301 nt
Filed under: uncultured bacterium
Lineage: Bacteria
Description: partial 16S ribosomal RNA
Rfam family: Bacterial small subunit ribosomal RNA
Source: RNAcentral
CAGUAGCCGCGGUAAUACCGAGGGUGCGAGCGUUAAUCGGAUUUACUGGGCGUAAAGCGUGCGUAGGCGGCUUCUUAAGUCGGAUGUGAAAUCCCUGAGCUUAACUUAGGAAUUGCAUUCGAUACUGGGAAGCUAGAGUAUGGGAGAGGAUGGUAGAAUUCCAGGUGUAGCGGUGAAAUGCGUAGAGAUCUGGAGGAAUACCGAUGGCGAAGGCAGCCAUCUGGCCUAAUACUGACGCUGAGGUACGAAAGCAUGGGGAGCAAACAGGAUUAGAGACCCGCGUAGUCCCUGUCUCUUAUAC